RNAcentral lists this unclassified non-coding RNA (305 nucleotides) under Trichoderma sp. RNAcentral's name for it is "partial contains 5.8S ribosomal RNA, internal transcribed spacer 2, and large subunit ribosomal RNA". The stretch from base 1 to 71 matches the Rfam family "5.8S ribosomal RNA", at positions 84 to 154 of the family's 154-position model. The record is from RNAcentral. Lineage: Eukaryota; Fungi; Ascomycota; Sordariomycetes; Hypocreales; Hypocreaceae.
GUGAAUCAUCGAAUCUUUGAACGCACAUUGCGCCCGCCAGUAUUCUGGCGGGCAUGCCUGUCCGAGCGUCAUUUCAACCCUCGAACCCCUCCGGGGGGUCGGCGUUGGGGAUCGGCCCGUCUUAGCGCGGGCCGGCCCCGAAAUACAGUGGCGGUCUCGCCGCAGCCUCUCCUGCGCAGUAGUUUGCACACUCGCAUCGGGAGCGCGGCGCGUCCAAUGCCGUAAAACACCCCAAAUUUCUGAAAUGUUGACCUCGGAUCAGGUAGGAAUACCCGCUGAACUUAAGCAUAUCAAUAAGCGGAGGA